This 492-nucleotide ribosomal RNA is filed under the name uncultured bacterium. Its description in RNAcentral is "partial 16S ribosomal RNA". It matches the Rfam family "Bacterial small subunit ribosomal RNA", at positions 29 to 507 of the family's 1533-position model. The record is from RNAcentral.
AGUGAACGCUGGCGGUAGGCCUAACACAUGCAAGUCGAACGGCAGCACAGUAAGAGCUUGCUCUUACGGGUGGCGAGUGGCGGACGGGUGAGGAAUACAUCGGAAUCUACUUUUUCGUGGGGGAUAACGUAGGGAAACUUACGCUAAUACCGCAUACGACCUACAGGUGAAAGCAGGGGAUCCUCGGACCUUGCGCGAUUGAAUGAGCCGAUGUCGGAUUAGCUAGUUGGCGGGGUAAAGGCCCACCAAGGCGACGAUCCGUAGCUGGUCUGAGAGGAUGAGCAGCGACACUGGAACUGAGACACGGUCCAGAGACAUACGGGAGGCAGCAGUGGCGAAUAUUGGAGGAUGGGCGCAAGCCUGAUCCAGCAAUGCCGCGUGGGUGAAGAAGGCCUUCGGGUUGUAAAGCCCUUUUGUUGGGAAAGAAAAACAGCAGAUGAAAACCCCGCUGUUCGGACGGUACACAAGCAAUAAGCACCGGCUAACGUAGUG